RNAcentral lists this small RNA (105 nucleotides) under Flavobacterium xanthum. RNAcentral's name for it is "Flavo-1 RNA". It matches the Rfam family "Flavo-1 RNA". Lineage: Bacteria; Pseudomonadati; Bacteroidota; Flavobacteriia; Flavobacteriales; Flavobacteriaceae. The record is from RNAcentral.
CUUUAGCCCCGAUUGCAGUGAAAAUCCUUUCUCGUCCUGAACUUGUUUCAGGAUCCUGAAACAAGUUCAGGACGAGAAAGAUUGCAACGGAAAGCGGGAACGGUA